RNAcentral lists this unclassified non-coding RNA (342 nucleotides) under soil metagenome. RNAcentral describes it as "partial contains 5.8S ribosomal RNA, internal transcribed spacer 2, and large subunit ribosomal RNA". The stretch from base 1 to 120 matches the Rfam family "5.8S ribosomal RNA", at positions 35 to 154 of the family's 154-position model. The record is from RNAcentral.
GAUGAAGAACGUAGCGAAAUGCGAUAAGUAGUGUGAAUUGCAGAAUUCAGUGAAUCAUCGAAUCUUUGAACGCACAUUGCGGCAAUAGGUACUCCUUUGGCCAUGCCUGUUCGAGCGUCAUUUACACCCUCAAGCCUAGCUUGGUGUUGGGCGUCUGUCCCGCCGUUCUCGCGCGCGGACUCGCCUCAAAGUCAUUGGCGGCGGUCGUGCCGGCCCCCUCGCGCAGCACAUUUGCGCUUCUCGGAGGCCCGGCGGAUCCGCGCUCCAGCAAGACCUUUCACGACUUGACCUCGGAUCAGGUAGGGAUACCCGCUGAACUUAAGCAUAUCAAUAAGCGGAGGA